RNAcentral lists this long non-coding RNA (727 nucleotides) under Olea europaea subsp. europaea. Lineage: Eukaryota; Viridiplantae; Streptophyta; Magnoliopsida; Lamiales; Oleaceae. The record is from RNAcentral.
CAUCACCCCAACACCAGUACCAAAAUCUUCGACCUCCGCUGCCUCUCCUCCUAUCAAGUCAUCCAACCCAGCAAAGUCACCUGCCUUAGGAUUUUGUUCUCAUUUUUCAGUUUAAGUGUGAGAAAAUCAAUAGAUUUAAAUUGGAAUGAUGAAGGAGUAAUCACUUUGUUUUGGAAACUCUCGAAGCUUCUUCAACUAGUAUAGUUUAUUGAUUUUUUUAUUCAUUUGCUUUUCCUGAUUAUCUCAACUAUGCAUACGAUGGGCAGGGUGGUGUUAUCAUUUUGGAACCCUUACCAUCGAGCUUAUAUCAGAUUAAUCGGCUUGUGUUCGAGGUAUUACUUUAUCGUGUACAUAUCUUGAAUUCGCAAAAAUGAUCAUUUAGAAAGUUUAUAUGGUGAAUGUCUGUACUAAUGACAAUUUAUUAACCAAUGUGUUAUUUAUUGAACUCUUUUAGAAGUAGUUUGACCUAACAAUAUUUUGUUUGUUAAAGCUUUAUUGUUCAAGACGAUCUUUUCAUAUUAUGUUGACAGUAACAACUAAUUAUAAAACUAUUAUGAUACAUCCACAAGAUUUUCAGAAUAUACUUCUAAACAAGGUUAAUCUGGUUUCAAAGUAUAUUGAAGCUGGAAGAUAUGAAUCAGCAUGAGCAUUUUCACAAUCAACGGGAUGCAGGCUAGGAUGGACAGAUGACAAUGCAGCAACAGAAGAAUAAUCUGGAAGAUGAUUA